UGCGAUGUAGCUUCAUGGUAGAGCACUUGCCUGGCAUGCUUGAGGCCUUGGGUUUGAGCCUCAUCAAGGCAA
Molecule: transfer RNA, 72 nt
Filed under: Ictidomys tridecemlineatus (thirteen-lined ground squirrel)
Lineage: Eukaryota; Metazoa; Chordata; Mammalia; Rodentia; Sciuridae
Description: Spermophilus tridecemlineatus (thirteen-lined ground squirrel) tRNA
Rfam family: tRNA
About the family: Transfer RNA (tRNA) molecules are approximately 80 nucleotides in length. Their secondary structure includes four short double-helical elements and three loops (D, anti-codon, and T loops). Further hydrogen bonds mediate the characteristic L-shaped molecular structure. tRNAs have two regions of fundamental functional importance: the anti-codon, which is responsible for specific mRNA codon recognition, and the 3' end, to which the tRNAs corresponding amino acid is attached (by aminoacyl-tRNA synthetases). tRNAs cope with the degeneracy of the genetic code in two manners: having more than one tRNA (with a specific anti-codon) for a particular amino acid; and 'wobble' base-pairing, i.e. permitting non-standard base-pairing at the 3rd anti-codon position.
Source: Rfam by way of RNAcentral